GCAGGGUGUGAUGGCUCGCACCUGUAAUCCCAGUGGCUUGGGAGGCUGAGGCAGGAGGAUCCUAAGUUCAAAGCCAGCCUCAG
Molecule: small RNA, 83 nt
Filed under: Marmota monax (woodchuck)
Lineage: Eukaryota; Metazoa; Chordata; Mammalia; Rodentia; Sciuridae
Source: RNAcentral